Molecule: long non-coding RNA, 1577 nt
Organism: Wyeomyia smithii (pitcher-plant mosquito)
Lineage: Eukaryota; Metazoa; Arthropoda; Insecta; Diptera; Culicidae
Exons: 4
Source: RefSeq, a predicted model, not a curated record
GUACAGUCAUAGAGUGAAGGUGGUUUAUGGUCGUCCUUAAGAAGCCGAUCUGAAGUGCUCGAAAUAGAAGGUUUGUCGCAUCGCAUAUCACGAUUUGGCAGGUUACACCAAUAUCCCGCAAACAAAAGGGACCACCCGAUCUGUUCACGGAUAACCGCAUGCAACGCGAGCACGUUUGACUUCAUUCCAAUCAAUACACCAAGUUCCCUAUGAGCUAUCGCAAAACUUGCACGUAACAUCCGUAUAGUUUGGAGAGAUAGAUUUGCUACGAGAGUUGCGAAUUCCAAGAAACAAAGAGUUAUACGGCAUAAGCAAGUGAUCUCCGACGACAGAUUAAGCCACAACGAGACUCGGCUGCGUUGGAUUUAAGUAUCGAAAGAGUAAACACAAGACACCCAAAGGCCUUCGAAAGAGGGCCUUUAAUUUACAGGCUUAGGUGCUUCGGUCGUGCCACAGCAACGAGACUCUUUGAGCGUAGUGAUAGCAUCUAGGGACGGCGAAGGCAAGACCGAUUGAGCCGAAUUUACUGCAUUUCGUUCCCGCCAACCAUACGUGCGAUAGCGAGACCGCAAGGACACGAAGGAGCAGACUACACGAUCGUCGCAAUGCUUGCCGAUUAGGCAAGACAGAAAGGGAUCUAGCGCACCGGUGGCAGCGUGUGAAGUACAGUAAAGUCAACAUCAAGGGGCCCCCACCGAUAUGAAUAAGUUAAAGAUGUGAACUUUGUAAAGGGUGGCAAAAUGUAUGUAUGCCAAUAGAGUUAAGUUAGCAAUAUAACUUGAUUUUCUUAUGUUAAGCUGCACUCCCUUAUCGCAUUGUUUUGUGAGUCUUACCGUUUUAAUUCAGUUGAAUUCAUCUACUAUUGUAUCCUCCCAAGUAACAAAACUGGUUUUAUCAAAGUUUUAUAGCGCUGUUUAGGCUGUAUUAAGCGCUAUAAAACUUUGAUAAAAUCAAUAUUGUUACUAGGGCUGGCACGGAAUAGCCCCUGCGUAGUUGGACAGAUUGCCUGAGGGCCAACUGAUUUUAAUGUAACGUUAGAUAGAGAGAGCAACAAUGGCCAACUGUCUUCCAAGCUGAAGUUCAAGCAAUACUAGAAUGUUCUGUUACAUGCCUACGCAGGAAAUACAGGCACUCAAACAUUUGCAUUAAGUCCGACAGUCAAGCAGCUUUGAAGGUUUUGAAGUCUGCGAUAUACACUAGAACCCUCUGAAAUCUGGAGAAUAAAUCCCAGUAGAGAUGUGCGCUGAAAUUCACCAACAAUAAAACUCAACAAAAAACUCCUAAAUAAUUGUAAUACUGUAAUUAUCACGACCAGAAAUUACGAGGAAGCGUGAUCUUCUCAAUUUUGAUAAUCUGUAUAUGGAACUUAAAGCUGCAUUAUCAAUUCGAGUAAGCAGAAGAAGCAGAAUCAUACAAAAAAUAUUCGUAAAUAACGCAACCGGUGGAAGUGAUAUAAAGGAAUCUAAAGCAAGAAUUCUCAGAACUGUUAAACUCCAAAUAACUGAAGACAUAAGAAAUCGGUAAUAAUAUUUAAAAAUGGUAUGAAACCAUCGAAAAUUAACACAUUGUUGAAAAAU